Molecule: ribosomal RNA, 393 nt
Filed under: uncultured bacterium
Lineage: Bacteria
Description: partial 16S ribosomal RNA
Rfam family: Bacterial small subunit ribosomal RNA
Source: RNAcentral
AUACGGAGGAUGCAAGCGUUAUCCGGAUUUAUUGGGUUUAAAGGGUGCGUAGGCGGUUUGCUAAGCGGGAGGUGAAAUGCCGGCGCUCAACGUCGGAAGUGCCUCCCGAACUGGUGGACUGGAAUGACUCUGCCGUGGGAGGAAUGUGUAGUGUAGCGGUGAAAUGCUUAGAGAUUACACAGAACACCGAUUGCGAAGGCAUCUCACGAAGGGUUGAUUGACGCUGAGGCACGAAAGCGUGGGGAUCAAACAGGAUUAGAUACCCUGGUAGUUCACGCAGUAAACGAUGAUGGCUAACCGCUGGUUUAUUCGGAUCAGUGGCCAAGCGAAAGCGAUAAGCCAUCCACCUGGGGAGUACGACCGCAAGGUUGAAACUCAAAUGAAUUGACGGGG